This 200-nucleotide ribosomal RNA is filed under the name uncultured prokaryote. RNAcentral's name for it is "partial 16S ribosomal RNA". It matches the Rfam family "Bacterial small subunit ribosomal RNA", at positions 1181 to 1382 of the family's 1533-position model. The record is from RNAcentral.
GACGUCAAGUCAUCAUGGCCUUAUGCCAGGGCACACACGUGCUACAAUGGGCGGUACAGAGCGGAGCGAAGCCGCGAGGCGCAAGCGAAUCGCUUAAAGCCGUCCGUAGUCCGGAUUGAAGUCUGAAACCCGACUUCAUGAAGUUGGAAUCGCUAGUAAUCGCGCAUCAGCAUGGCGCGGUGAAUACGUUCCCGGGUCUU